UUAACCAUAAAGUCCUGUCUCUGGUAAAAGAAAACUCAAUAAACACAACGCCUAUUAGUCAAGUAGGAGGACUUUUCGUAUUUCGAUUUAUUCUCCUGUAUUAGCUUUAUCAAGUGAAUUAAAUACAACAUGAAACCCUUUUCUAGUACCGCACUAAUGAUUUGAGUUAAUUUUGCACUUCUCUCGAGCCUAAUGUCUCCCUACAACAAGAACCACAGUGUGAAGAUUAUCAAGGUUGAAUAGCUAAAGAGCAUAAGCUGAUCCGGAAGAUAACGUAAUCACCACAGUGGAUGGCUUGAUGCGCAAGUCUCUAUGAACUCUACGGUAGGAGUCUCGGAGAUGAUAUGUUAUGUCUCCCCUGGAAGCAUCUUUCACUUCUCUACUUCCAAGAUUCUUUGCCCGA
RNAcentral lists this long non-coding RNA (403 nucleotides) under Brassica napus (rape). RNAcentral's name for it is "long non-coding RNA (BNAP_LNC019912)". The record is from RNAcentral. Lineage: Eukaryota; Viridiplantae; Streptophyta; Magnoliopsida; Brassicales; Brassicaceae.